UACGGAGGGUGCAAGCGUUAUCCGGAUUCACUGGGUUUAAAGGGUGCGUAGGUGGGCAAGUAAGUCAGUGGUGAAAUCUCCGGGCUUAACCCGGAAACUGCCAUUGAUACUAUUUGUCUUGAAUACUGUGGAGGUCAGCGGAAUAUGUCAUGUAGCGGUGAAAUGCUUAGAUAUGACAUAGAACACCAAUUGCGAAGGCAGCUGGCUACACAAAUAUUGACACUGAGGCACGAAAGCGUGGGGAUCAAACAGGAUUAGAAACCCCAGUAGUCC
This 273-nucleotide ribosomal RNA is filed under the name uncultured bacterium. RNAcentral describes it as "partial 16S ribosomal RNA". It matches the Rfam family "Bacterial small subunit ribosomal RNA", at positions 524 to 796 of the family's 1533-position model. The record is from RNAcentral.